AACCACAAUGGGAACUCUUAUUUAGGAAUUUUUAAAAAUGUUUAUAACUUUAACUUAAACUUGAAUAAUCACCAGUGGCUAGUGGCUAUCACAUUAGAUAGGGCAGCUCUUCAGGAAAUGUUGAAUGACUCUUUCGGGUUUGCUAACCGCUGAACCACAAUGGGAACUCUUAUUUAGGAAUUUUUAAAAAUGUUUAUAACUUUAACUUAAACUUGAAUAAUCACCAGUGGCUAGUGGCUAUCACAUUAGAUAGGGCAGCUCUUCAGGAAAUGUUGAAUGACUCUUGUAAGACAAUUAGAAGUUUCUCCAGAUUGGUGGUAGAUAAAUCAAAGAUACCUGCAGGGGGACAGUGGCAAAAACAUCCUCAACUACCUGUCCUUCCACUUUACAGAUUUAUCCACACCUGUACCAGCCUCUUCCUCCUGCCAUUCCUUCUCAGUGGGAAAGAAAUCUUCUCUUGCCUAAAGCUGACCCUUCCACUUUUACUUUGGAUUCCAUUCCUUCCCAUGUGCCAAUUUAAGAACCUCCUCUCUCAUUUAUCAUUAUCAAGUUUUCGGUCUCCACUGGAUCUUUCCCUUUUAGCAUAUAAACAUGUUCCCUCUCCUAUAUUCAAAACGAACCUUUCCUCAACCCUAUUAUGACCCUCUUGCUGUGAUCCAUCUUGCUCAAGCCCAACCAGAUCUCUUGAAACAGAGUUACUUUUGUCACUUCUGGUCUGUUGACUAAUUCCAGCUAUACCUGGCUGGAAUAGAGGUGGCGGAAAUCAGAAGAGGUGACCAAGGGGUGCAUGAACUUGACGGAAAUGUUUGAUACAAGUGUGCUGGAUAGAAGAACAUUUAUUGGAUGUUUACACUUUUUGUACAUACUAAGUAGUAUUUGAUGAAUUGUUUAAAUUCCUAAGGAAAGAUCUUUUUAUGCAAAGACCAUCUAACACUGUUCUUAGCACUGUCGUUCCUCACCCAAAGCCACCCUGUAAUCAUGUUACAGACCAAAACGCCACUAGAACAGAAAGGGUCACCAGCCAAAGGAAAUCUUAUCCUCAAGUGGUAUCUGAUAGAACAAAACUUCAGAACAAGGAAAGAUUUGGGAAUCCACCAGGAUUGGUCUCCGAUGCUUUAACGGGACCCUUGGAGCAUUCCUUUCUGGAGUGCCUUUGUUUUAUGUGCAUUACAUAACUGCCCUCGUCUGACCCGUGUCUGAAAGGGGAAAGCAGCUUUGGCACCUGCAGCCAUUUCCUAAGAGGGCUCCAAAGCCCGCCCCGAAAAUAAUCCACCACUGUGAGGUGGACACCUGAGCUAUGCUGAGGCUCAGACAGAGACCAAAGGUGAUGAUCUCUGCAAUCACAGCACCUUUCUUCUCUACUCAACCCCCUGGGGACUCAGGGCUGCCAACAGGACAGUGACAAGUGUUCAAUUCGAGCACAACCUAAAAGGCCCCUUUAUGAACAAUUCAUGUAAGAUGCUGCCAAGUCAACACCCUUAGAACCAGGUUCACUCAGCUUUCUGAACUGCUUUCACUGGGUAGGUCUUGUGCUUUAGCACAAAGAAAGGGAGGACAUGAAACUAUCUGCAGUAGCACACAGUUUCAAAAAAAUAUGAAAGUCAGCACACCUGGAAGGCAGUGAGACAUCAAAUGACAGCUCUCAUGGCUGGCUCUGGCUCUCCCAGCGUGAUGUCACAUGGCAGGUCUACCCCAAUGCACUUCAUAGGCAUCACUGAGCUGGUGUUCUCAGCAGCUACACACCUGCUUCUGGCUGAGGGCUGGCAAGUGUGGUCAGGACUAGUAAGCAACAACAAAAGAAAAGGAUUCCUAGGAUCCCUGCUUGUGCAUGGCCUUUUUUUCUGACCCUCUACUGAGCACAGCGACUGAGAUUUUUUACAGACCACAGUCAAAAACUUUUUAGGAGAAGCCCUCACUUGGGCAAAGCAGAAGGUUUGUGAAAAAGCAUUUCUCCAUUUACUGAAUGCAGAAAAAUGGCAUUGAACUAAAGGCUUCAAUACCUAAUGCAAGGCUUAAAAGCUGAAGUACUGAUUGGGGCUUACCAGCACUGAGAAAACACCCCUAAAAGACCUCAGGAGGAGGUGGCCCCACCUGUUUCACUAGUUUAAAGCUAUUCCAUCCUUUUUUGGGGGGUGGGGGGGUGCGUUGCACUUGCAGCAUAUGGAAGUUACCAGGCUAGGAGCUGAACUGGAGUUGCAUCUUCUGGCCUAUACCACAGCCAUGUGGGAUCUGAGCCACAUCUGUGACCUACACCACAGUUUACAGCAACAUUGGAUCCUUAACAUACUGGGCAAGGCCAGGGAUUGAACCCAAAUCCUCAUGGAUACCAGUGGGGUUCAUUACUGCUGAUCCACAAUGGGAACUCCCCAUCCUCUCACACUUCUGAGCCCUGAGACCAUGGGGACUGUCUGUCCAUGAUUAUCCACACUCUGGACCAGUAGAUUCCCCUCCUCAGAGGUCCUGGAAUUCAGGGUUGAAGCAGGGCAGGUUUGAAAGAUGGCUUUUUGUUGUUAUUGUUUUAAAUUAUUAAAGUAUAGUUGAUUUACAACGUCGGGCCAAUUUCUGCUGUACAGCAAAGUGACCCAAACAUCUGUAUACAUACAUACCUUUAUCAUAUUUCAUCGUGGUCUAUCCCAAGAGACUGGAUCUAGUUCCCUGUGCUGUAUACCAGGACCUCAUCACUUAUUCUUUCUAAAUAUAAUAUUCUUAGUCACAAGUCUGUGCCCAUCUUUGAAUGGGUCAAUAGUGAUUGGGGCAAAUCAAGAUCUUAAUCCUCUGGUAGAAGCACUGGUUCUUCAUGGCUCCCAACCCUCCCCUUCCAGCCAGCAAAGUGAUGGCUGCUUAGGACGACAUGCUCUGGAGAGGACCCCAACCUCCGGCCAUCUUCAGGGCAGAACAGCAAGAGCAACUCCAGGGCUGUAAGUGAGAGGCACGGUGCCACCCAGCUGCCCUCCGGGGUGCUCAGAGGAUGGGAGCAUCUGGGCAGAGCUGCUGCCAAUUCCCUUCUUCCCUGGAAGGUAGAAACUUUCCGGACAGCUGGCUUCACCCAAACAAUGAAUGUUUAUGGGGCUUUAUUAUUUGCCAGGCACUGGGUUGAAACGCUGCACAAACUGAGACUUGGACAGCCUAAGUAAGUUUGCCAAGUUCAUGUGGUCAGGAAAUAAGCAAUGGAGCCAAGAUGAGACCCGCGGUAUCCUGAAGCCUAUGUGUAUGCUGUGCUAGGGGAACCACCUGAGGUAGAUGGCUCCUAAAACGGGGGUCAGCUUUUCCUCUUUCAUUCUUUUUUUUAAACAUAUCUACGAGAUGGCUGGCUGGAACCAAAAUGUGGGGAAGAGAAAGAAGUCCUGCUCUGGUGAAGGAGAUGAGACUUAAAGAAUUAGAGACCAUGACGAAAGGGUAUAUAAUCAAGGGCUAAAUUGCAGGGUAUGGACUUUAAACCCUAAAGGAACUCAGAGAAGACAGACCUCAAGGAAACUCCCUGAUCUGGGGCUUGAGAUGGGGAUGAGGGGCACGGAAGGUCAAAGAUAUGCACUUAAGGGGCCAGGACAGCAGGGGAGCCAGGAGGCAUGUGUGGGCCCGCACGUGUGUGAGGACAGCUACACAGCCAGAUAGUAGGGCACAGGGAUCCUCUGUCACCAUUUAAGCAAUGUCAAAAUGGGAAGUUCCCGUUGUGGCUCAGCAGGUAACAAACCCGACUAGCAUCCAUGAGGACGCGGGAUUGAUCCCUGGCCUUGCUCAGUGAGUUAAGGAUCCGGUGUUGCUGUGAGGUGUGGUGUAGUUCUUAGAUGCGUUUUGGAUCCCGCAUUGCUGUGGCACGUAGGCCGGCAGCUACAGCUCCGAUUGGACCCCUAGCCUGGGAAGCUCCAUAUGCCGCAAGUACGGCCCUAAAACCACCAAAAAAAAAAAAAAAAAAAGUCAAAAUGUAAACUGUAGUAAAGUGUAUUUUCUGUCAGUGUGUCUUAUACUUUUGAGGGCUUUCUCAGAAGAGUCAAAUUACCUUUGAACUUUUAUAUUAAUGUUUAAAAUAUUCAAUGUAUUAAGAGUUUACAAAUCCAAAUCCUUCAAGGAGUUCAAUGUACAAAUCCAUAUGAGCACAUUUCCACAUUUUUAAGGGAGACUUGACAAAUUAUACUAAAUGUUUUAAACUGCAUUCAGAAAUUUUAAACGAUCUAUUCGCCUUAGAGUACUUCAACACCUAACCACUUAGCUCUCAGAAUUUUGAAGUAUCAUUAUGGUUGGUUCUCAAGGUCUCAUUGUUCCCAUACUUGUAAACAUUAAGUCCAAACCUCUUACUCAAUUACCUAUUUUAAAUUUAAACUCAAGGAUGUUUCUCACGGGCAACAUUUUUAUUAAUUGUAAGUGUUAAUAUUUAAAAUAACAGAUGUACACAGAUUAGUCUUUAACCAAAAAAAUGUUUGAUUUAGUUUAUUUUUCUUAACUUAGUUUUCACUUAAAAUUUCAAACACACUUAAUCCACUAAAGAAACAAUCAUGCUUUCCCGAAUAAUGUGGGUUGCCUUCCUCAACUAAGUGAAUUUUAGGGGAUUUUUUUUAAUUGGCUGGGCCUGCACAUUGACCAGAUAUGGAGCAGCAGGCAGCCAGGGUGAGUUUUUCGAUACCCUUCGUUAUGAUUAUGUCAACACAAUCCAGAAUAAAAAUGGUCUUGGCCCUAGCACUUCCACACAGGUGACUAAUUUCUCAAUCCUGAGGAGUCUGAACACAGGAAUUGUAGCUAGCCUCCUUUGAGCUUUGCUGGAGUUUCAUCUCUCUGGCUCUUAAAUCCAUCUCUCUCAAGGCUUUGGUGACCUCUGGUUACAGUGCUAAAGCUAAGCAGUCUCCCAACUACGAUUUGGAAUAAAAUGGGGUGAGAGUGUCCCAUCUACAUAUGCCUCAGGAUUAACUUCAGGUCAAAUGUUAAAAUGUGAGAAAGAACAUGUCCCAAUCACAACUCUACGCUCCUCUAUGCCUCCAUCUCAAAGCCAAGUGCAUUCCAGAUCUUAGUCAAUGACACAUGCAGAUGUCCAAGCCAGAGACUCACAUCUUCUGUGAUUCCUUCCUUGCCUCCCACCCCAACCAGUUACAAACGCUGAACAACCACGAGUCCAAUUUCCUUUGCCCUUCUCCACUUGCCCUAUGACAGAGACCAGAACCUUAUCAUGUCCUGAUUGGAAGACACUCACAGCUCGGCAUCCUACCCAGUCCCCCCGUACACAUCCUCCCCUGCAAGGUAACCUCUGGACCACGUGAUUCUGAUGCUAUCAACCCCAGAGCUGGAACAGUUUCCUAUGAUCCACAGAGUCAGCCCUUA
Molecule: long non-coding RNA, 5307 nt
Filed under: Sus scrofa (pig)
Lineage: Eukaryota; Metazoa; Chordata; Mammalia; Artiodactyla; Suidae
Description: lncRNA (ENSSSCG00015014580.1)
Source: RNAcentral